AGAGUUUGAUCCUGGCUCAGAAUAAACGCUGGCGGCGUGCCUAACACAUGCAAGUCGAGCGGGAAAGCCCGCAAGGGUGAGUACAGCGGCGGACGGGUGAGAAACGCGUGAGAAUCUGCCCUUUAGUGAAGAAUACUCCCGAGAAAUCGGGCAUAAUACUGCAUACGUCCCUCCGGGGAGAAAGAUGGCUUUAUGCUGUC
This 200-nucleotide ribosomal RNA is filed under the name uncultured bacterium. Its description in RNAcentral is "partial 16S ribosomal RNA". It matches the Rfam family "Bacterial small subunit ribosomal RNA", at positions 8 to 216 of the family's 1533-position model. The record is from RNAcentral.